Molecule: non-coding RNA, 2489 nt
Organism: Cinara cedri
Lineage: Eukaryota; Metazoa; Arthropoda; Insecta; Hemiptera; Aphididae
Source: the annotation of a GenBank genome assembly
UGGCGAAUAACGUCGCGGCACGCUACGCGAACGCACCCGAUUUGUUCCGGUUGAGCCUGACGUGCACAAAAAUACGAAGUACAAACUUUCGUCCUUCAGUCCUUCUACGCUAUGUGCUAUCUCGACGUGCACAAAAAUACAAAGUACAAACUUUCGUCCUUCAGUCCUUCUACGCUAUGUGCUAUCUCGACGUGCACAAAAAUACAAAGUACAAAAAUCUGUUCUUCGGUUAUUUCUAUCCUACGUUUAUACGUCACCUAGCUAACCCUGAACGUUCAAAUCGCCAGGUUUUCAGAACGAGCACGGCGUACGUACGAGUACGUACCUUUUUAGUUUUUAUUGUUACCUACAGUACAUUUUCUACGGUUGCAGUGUUUUGUCCGUAUGUAAAACCUUUUACCUUUUAUUACAAUUAUCACAUUUGGUUUAUUUGUUUACGUUCUGUCGGGUAUUUUUAGAUUAACGCGAUUUUGUAUGCCGUGUUCUGCGCGUUCACAUUGUCCAAUUUGUGCUCGCCGUCGCCAACUGUAACCGUGUGAUGCUCACCUACACGAUACUUAUCAACGGGGUCAGAGCUCUGAGCACGUUACGCUGUCUCUCGAUGAACUGAUUUCGCGAUGAAAACCGCCUGUGCGUCAUUAUGUUAUUACGCCGUCCGAAACGGCUACUAUCCAAAUGAUUACAUCCUGAGCUACACUGCGAAAAACUUUACCUCACUCUGCGUAGGUAAUAAUACAUUUUAUUGAAACUGUAAACUGUAAAUUUACGUUAGGUAGAACUGAUACUGUAAAGGGGUCUGUACGCGGUCGUUCAGAUUGAAGAUUGUUAGUGUUUUGUAGACAUGUAGACGAUCGUUUUAAUCGUUUUAUAAUAUUAUACAAUAUUUUGUGUAUGUGUAUGUAACAACCGACUAGGUAGGCAUUUGUAAUUGAGGUGUUUCUGUGCAAAAAAGUGCCAUCUCCAUUUUCAAUAAAACGAGUUGUACGUCUAUUCUCAUUGGAAAAACGGCGAGAAAUUAUAUUUGAAACCUAUAUUUUUUUCCGAAGUGUUCUACAUCCACUUUCCGUCAAUAUGUGCUAUUUCCUGUACUAAACCAUAGGUUUUAGUUCUCAUAUUUUUCCGAAACGUGGUAUAUCCAUAAUUUUUUUUUAACAUGUUAUUUCUGUUUUACAUCAAAACUUGUUUUUCUUAAUAUAGAUGACGAUACAGUCUAUUGUUAAUUACAUAUAAACGUCUAUAUUUUAUUUUACAUUUAUUUUAGAUUUAUAGAGUAGCAAAAGAUUUAUUGGUUUUACCAUGAUUUUUUUUUUUUUUUUUGUAUCUGAGUAACAGUUCCAUCAAAACGGUCUUGUUUUAAUCAAAAAAUAAAAAGAUACUUUUUUUGUUGCAUUUUUUAAUAAAGUUUGUGAAUAAGUAAGUAUUUUUUGGUUCCAAGUGGUUUUGAUAAUAAUUGGGAAAAACAUAUGAAAUGCAGGAAAGUGUAUGACAUUAAUAGUUUUGUUAUUUUUGAUUUUGGUUUUUUUAAAACCAUUAAAAAUCCAGUUAAAAAUAAUUGUAGAGAACUAAAAUGUUAACAGAAUACUCAUAUUUACCUUUUCUAGAUGUGGUAAAAUUGUUUAACUAAUUUUGUUGAUUUUUGAGCUUUUUGUAGUAUAAUGUAGCAAUUUUUUUAUAAUGAUGUUAUCAUUAAAUUUUGAUGAAAAUUAUAAAUAUAGUUAUAAGUUAAAUACUUUCAUGUAUCCUUAAGCUUACCCAGCUUUUUACCUUCAACAGUGGCGCAUCAACAGUAUCGACUUUUUUUCUUUUAUUUAUUUGUUAAGAAAUGAAACUUAAAUAUUACAGAUAACUAAAAGGUUAACAACUUACUCAGAAGUCACCAUGAAAGAUGACAAGGGCGGUUGACGGCUGGGUGUUACCGAUUGAACAUUGCUUGCCUGAGAAACACCCAUUAAAAUACUAAAACAUUUUUCCAAGUUAUUUUUAAUAUGGAUUCAACAUUGUGGAGUUAAUUUAUCAAGGAUUACUGUCUAAGAAGAAAUAUCUGCUGUACCUUUCACUUCCCAACUCUGAGAAUCAAGAACUAAGCUUGCACAUCAUUCACUUGUGAAGAAGCUACAAGAAAAGGAAUGCCUAAGCAUCGUUAUAUUGUAAGUUGAUAUUUUAAGAAUUGAUAUUUGUAUGAGAAAUAUUUUUUGAAAUUUUCAUAAGGGGAUUUUUAUAUUAUGUAAUUUAGAAGUUUAUUUCAUAAUAAUAUAAUAACUAUUGUAACCCGGGAAAAGUUACUGAUUUGUUUUGGUAAAAUUGGCCAAUUUUUUAACCCUUUAAGAUCUGGAACUAAUUUUUGUUAUUCAAUAUUUAAUGGGUUGCUUCUUAAAAUAAAAUAAUUUUUUUUUACUAAGUUAUUAGUAUGUUAUUUACAGAGUUGAAUUAAUAUUACUGUUAUUCAUUUUUGACGAUUCAUAUUUGUUUGUUAAUUGCUCUAAUAUCAC